This 71-nucleotide transfer RNA is filed under the name Candidatus Beckwithbacteria bacterium. Its description in RNAcentral is "tRNA-Pro". It matches the Rfam family "tRNA". Rfam says of the family: Transfer RNA (tRNA) molecules are approximately 80 nucleotides in length. The record is from RNAcentral. Lineage: Bacteria; Candidatus Beckwithiibacteriota.
CGGAGUAUGGUCUAGUGGUAUGAUGCGCGGUUCGGGAUCGUGCGACCCCAGUUCGAUUCUGGGUACUCCGA